GAUGAACGCUGGCGGCGUGCCUAAUACAUGCAAGUCGAGCGAACGGACGAGGAUCUUGCUUCGCUGAUGUUAGCGGCGGACGGGUGAGUAACACGUGUAUACCCUACCUAUAAGACUGGGAUAACUUCGGGAAACCGUAUCUUAUACCGGAUAAUCUCCUGAACCGCGGGGUUGAAAGGAGAGAGACGGUGUUGCUGGCUGUUAUAGAUGGAUCCGCGCUGCAUUAGGUAGUUGGUAAGGUAACGGCUUACCAAGGCAACGAUGCAUAGCCGACCUGAGGGGGUGGUAGGCGACACUGGAACUGAGACACGGUCCAGACUCCUACGGGAGGCCGCAGUAGGGAAUGUGCCGCAAUGGGCGAAAGCAUGACGGAGUAACGCCGCGUGAGUGAUGAAGGUCUUCGGAUCGGAAAAAUCGGUUAUUAGGGAAGAACAUAUGUGUAAGUAGAUGUGCACAUCUUGACGGUAACUAGUCAGAAAGCCACGGCUAACUACGUG
Molecule: ribosomal RNA, 497 nt
Filed under: uncultured bacterium
Lineage: Bacteria
Description: partial 16S ribosomal RNA
Rfam family: Bacterial small subunit ribosomal RNA
Source: RNAcentral